CCUACGGGUGGCAGCAGUGAGGAAUAUUGGUCAAUGGACGCAAGUCUGAACCAGCCAUGCCGCGUGCAGGAAGACGGCUCUAUGAGUUGUAAACUGCUUUUGUACGAGGGUAAACGCAGAUACGCGUACCUGUCUGAAAGUCUCGUACGAAUAAGGAUCGGCUAACUCCGUGCCAGCAGCCGCGGUAAUACGGAGGAUUCAAGCGUUAUCCGGAUUUAUUGGGUUUAAAGGGUGCGUAGGCGGUCGGAUAAGUUAGAGGUGAAAGCCCGAGGCUCAACUUAGGAAUUGCCUCUGAUACUGUUCGGCUAGAGAGUAGUUGCGGUAGGCGGAAGGUAUGGUGUAGCGGUGAAAUGCUUAGAGAUCAUACAGAACACCGAUUGCGAAGGCAGCUUACCAAGCUACUUCUGACGUUGAGGCACGAAAGCGUGGGGAGCAAACAGGAUUAGAUACCCUAGUAGUC
This 460-nucleotide ribosomal RNA is filed under the name uncultured bacterium. RNAcentral describes it as "partial 16S ribosomal RNA". It matches the Rfam family "Bacterial small subunit ribosomal RNA", at positions 338 to 795 of the family's 1533-position model. The record is from RNAcentral.